RNAcentral lists this non-coding RNA (156 nucleotides) under Nisaea acidiphila. Its description in RNAcentral is "6S / SsrS RNA". It matches the Rfam family "6S / SsrS RNA". From Rfam's summary of the family: E. coli 6S RNA was the first non coding RNA to be sequenced, but its function was unknown until recently. It consists of 184 nucleotides that fold into an extended hairpin structure with a large single-stranded internal bulge. The 6S RNA specifically associates with RNA polymerase holoenzyme containing the sigma70 specificity factor. Lineage: Bacteria; Pseudomonadati; Pseudomonadota; Alphaproteobacteria; Rhodospirillales; Thalassobaculaceae. The record is from Rfam by way of RNAcentral.
CGGUAGCUGCGCGAUGCGUCAGGCCUCACAAUCCCUGGGGCUAUAAACGAUCCUUCGGGAGCUGUCUCUGCCGGGACCCUGGUUCCGGUACGCGGCGCCCACCUGCUUUGCAGGCCACAGAGGAUUACUACGGCCAACGGUCGUCGUGGCGCCGUU